This 307-nucleotide ribosomal RNA is filed under the name uncultured eukaryote. RNAcentral's name for it is "partial 18S ribosomal RNA". It matches the Rfam family "Eukaryotic small subunit ribosomal RNA", at positions 1470 to 1796 of the family's 1831-position model. The record is from RNAcentral.
CCCUUAGACGUUCUGGGCCGCACGCGCGCUACACUGACACAGGCAACGAGCUUUCCUUUACCGAAAGGUAUGGGUAAUCUUUUGAAACUGUGUCGUGCUGGGGAUAGAUCCUUGUAAUUUUUGAUCUUAAACGAGGAAUUCCUAGUAAGCGCGAGUCAUCAACUCGCGUUGAUUACGUCCCUGCCCUUUGUACACACCGCCCGUCGCUACUACCGAUUGAAUGGCUUAGUGAGGCCUCAGGAUCCGCGCUUAAUGUGUGGAGAAUUUGGACAAACUACGUCAUUUAGAGGAAGUAAAAGUCGUAACA